GAUGAACGCUGGCGGCGUGCUUAACACAUGCAAGUCGAACGAUGAUCCCAGCUUGCUGGGGGAUUAGUGGCGAACGGGUGAGUAACACGUGAGUAACCUGCCCUUGACUCUGGGAUAAGCCUGGGAAACUGGGUCUAAUACCGGAUAUGACUGAUCAUCGCAUGGUGGUUGGUGGAAAGCUUUUGUGGUUUUGGAUGGACUCGCGGCCUAUCAGCUGUUGGUGGGGUAAUGGCCUACCAAGGCGACGACGGGUAGCCGGCCUGAGAGGGUGACCGGCCACACUGGGACUGAGACACGGCCCAGACUCCUACGGGAGGCAGCAGUGGGGAAUAUUGGACAAUGGGCGCAAGCCUGAUCCAGCAAUGCCGCGUGGGUGAAGAAGGUCUUCGGAUUUGUAAAGCCCUUUCGACGGGGACGAUGAUGACGGUACCCGUAGAAGAAGCCCGGCUAACUUCGUGCCAGCAGCCGCC
This 470-nucleotide ribosomal RNA is filed under the name uncultured bacterium. RNAcentral describes it as "bacterial SSU rRNA". It matches the Rfam family "Bacterial small subunit ribosomal RNA", at positions 28 to 519 of the family's 1533-position model. The record is from RNAcentral.